CUCCUCUUCUUUCCCAUUCUCAUGUCUCAGCCUAAAUCGAAAAACCCCAAAUUUAAAAAGAAAUCCCUCAUCUUCUUCUCCGUCUUGUCUCUGCGCCCUAACUGAGAAAAAAAUCCCUCCUCUUCUUCCCCGUUCUCAUCUCUCAUCAAUCCCUCUUCUCUGCCUUUGUCUCUGUCUCGUCUUUGAGCCCUAACCGAGGGAAAAUCCCCAUUGUGACCAAAAUUUGCCCCCAAUUAGACCCCUAACCCAUAAUCUUCCUUCUUUCCCUCAAUUGAUCCAAUGCGUGACUGUCGCUACCUCCUCUGUCUAGUAGUUCGAGUGACUGGCAUCAGUAACUUCUCUAAUAGUUCUUCACCUUACAGCUACUGUCGCCUCCUCCUAUGGUUCGCCUACCUGCCGUCACCUCCUCCAACGCCUCUCCUAACCACCGACCGCCGCCUUCUCUAGUGUCUUUCCUAUCAGUAGAGAUUUUGUUUUAUGAGCUUGUGAGGAAGUUAAGCCUUUGCGAAUGAGCUGAAUCCCUAAAAUCCAUCCUAAGCUUCUACAAGUGUCCAAAAACUUUAUGGAGGAAUGAAGUGCAAGAUUUAGUUAGAGACUCGGCUAGUUUUAGGAAGUUUGAUAAUAACUCGAGGGAUCUAAAAUUUCAAGAGAGGAUUACUGAAGCUGCCACUACAGAAGCUGCCGCUACAAAAUUCAAUGGAAAGGUCAAAACUUUUAUAUUUGUACUUGUAAUAUUUGUACUUGCAGUAGCCUAGAUUGUGGGGUGUUCUUGAUGUUAUACAUGUUCAGCCUCAUCUCCGAUCAACUGAUUUCAAUAGACCAAAAGAAUUGUGCGAGACGUAGAGCUCGUAUCGUAGUCCUAUUUCUAUCUGAAGGGAGAGCAUCUGAUUAGAACAUUCCUGGAUAUAAAUAUUCACCUCAAGCUAAGUCCUCUGAUGCCAGAUGCCAUCAAUCUCAGCUUUUGUUCUUAUGUAGUUUUGUGAGUGCAACCAAGCCUGCUCUUAUAUGAAAAUUUCUCUUUGAUUGAUGGAUUAUUUGUUUGUAAACUUCAUCUUUCUACUAGUGUACUUUGUAUCUCUUAGGCAGCCAAGCCUGCUCUUAAAUGCAAAUUUCUCUUUGAUUGA
Long non-coding RNA from Asparagus officinalis (garden asparagus), 1124 nucleotides. RefSeq lists it as uncharacterized. Lineage: Eukaryota; Viridiplantae; Streptophyta; Magnoliopsida; Asparagales; Asparagaceae. The record is from RefSeq and is a predicted model, not a curated record. The transcript has 4 exons.